RNAcentral lists this transfer RNA (65 nucleotides) under Asterorhombus intermedius (intermediate flounder). RNAcentral's name for it is "tRNA-Cys". It matches the Rfam family "tRNA". Rfam says of the family: Transfer RNA (tRNA) molecules are approximately 80 nucleotides in length. The record is from RNAcentral. Lineage: Eukaryota; Metazoa; Chordata; Actinopteri; Pleuronectiformes; Bothidae.
AGCUCUGGGGUGUUAUCAUAUUAGAUUGCAAAUCUAAAGAAGCAGAUUAAAAUCUGCCGGGGCUU